CUGAGUAACCGAGUUUUAUGAAUUUGAGUGACUGUUACCCAAAUAAAUAUAAAUAAGUGGGAAACUCAAAAUUGAGUUCACCGUGAAAAUUUCUUAAAAAUGGCGAAGUCCGAUUGCUGAAGAUUAUCAGAAAUCAUAUUCAAUUAUAAAAUAUAUGUGGAACGAUAAGUAGAACAGAGAUUGAAAUGAAGACAAAACAAUCUGGAGAGUGUUUCUUUUCGCUACUUGUUGUAUCGGAGUUCUAUCUCGGCCUUAAAUUCAGGCUCUGAAGGCUAUGGGAAAGUGCCAGGUGCCAGGCUACGAUAUUACGUGCUUCCUU
This is a long non-coding RNA of Armigeres subalbatus, 319 nucleotides long. RefSeq lists it as uncharacterized. The transcript has 3 exons. The record is from RefSeq and is a predicted model, not a curated record. Lineage: Eukaryota; Metazoa; Arthropoda; Insecta; Diptera; Culicidae.